GAUGAACGCUAGCGGCAGGCUUAACACAUGCAAGUCGAGGGGUAUAGUUCUUCGGAAUUAGAGACCGGCGCACGGGUGCGUAACGCGUAUGCAAUCUACCUUUCACAGAGGGAUAGCCCCAGAGAAAUUUGGAUUAAUACCUCAUAGUAUAGCAGUUUCGCAUGAAACCACUAUUAAAGUCACAACGGUGAAAGAUGAGCAUGCGUCCCAUUAGCUAGAUGGUAAGGUAACGGCUUACCAAUGGCUAGAUGGGUAGGGUCCUGAGAGGGAG
Molecule: ribosomal RNA, 271 nt
Filed under: uncultured bacterium
Lineage: Bacteria
Description: partial 16S ribosomal RNA
Rfam family: Bacterial small subunit ribosomal RNA
Source: RNAcentral